Molecule: ribosomal RNA, 136 nt
Filed under: Peromyscus maniculatus bairdii (prairie deer mouse)
Lineage: Eukaryota; Metazoa; Chordata; Mammalia; Rodentia; Cricetidae
Source: RNAcentral
GUCUAGGGCCAUGCCAUCCUAAUCCUCCAGAUUUCAUCUGAUCUCAGAAGCUAAGUAGGAUUGGGCCUGGGUAGUAUUGGAUGGUCCAGAAUGAAUCUGUUCAAGGGCCCUUUUAAAGGUGCAGGUGGUCCGGAAG